AGACAUGGGACCAUCAUCUGGAUUCCUAGACGUGCAACUGCAAGCUUAGAAGAAAUAAAGGAAAUAUCCCAGGAGCAAAAACAAAACACACACAUGCUCCUCUCAAGAGUCACUGGCAUCCCAGCUGAAAAGUCAGCUCUACACCUAUGGGACCUAUGGGCCUGUUUCUGAGCUCUGUUUUGUCUCUUUGGUCUGAGUGUCUAUCUGAGGCCAAUACCACAGUACCAAAUGCGAUUGCUUUAGAGGAAGUCUUGAAAUCAGAUGAGGGAGCAUAACUUUCGCAUCUCAGUCCUUCUCCAUUUCCUGAGGCUUCUUCAGGCUCUGGUGUGUGGUCCACCCUGGAGAAUGUCUCGCUCUCCUCUCGAGAGGAACGUGGCUGCGGCUCUGCGUGGACCGUUUGGCAGAGGCUCAUAUGCUGGAUCCACUGGUUGGUUCACGGGGUUCAUUCCUGUCUGUUGAUCUUCUACCUAGUGGCUCCAUCACUCAUUCAAGCCACCCGAUGUCCCUUUUGAUUAUUGUUUACACGGUUCGUCUUUUUCCACCUUUCCCCGUUGGACUCUG
RNAcentral lists this long non-coding RNA (561 nucleotides) under Homo sapiens (human). RNAcentral describes it as "long intergenic non-protein coding RNA 1880". The record is from RNAcentral. Lineage: Eukaryota; Metazoa; Chordata; Mammalia; Primates; Hominidae.